Molecule: ribosomal RNA, 497 nt
Filed under: uncultured bacterium
Lineage: Bacteria
Description: partial 16S ribosomal RNA
Rfam family: Bacterial small subunit ribosomal RNA
Source: RNAcentral
GAUGAACGCUGGCGGCGUGCCUAAUACAUGCAAGUCGAGCGAACAGAUAAGGAGCUUGCUCCUUUGACGUUAGCGGCGGACGGGUGAGUAACACGUGGAUAACCUACCUAUAAGACUGGGAUAACUUCGGGAAACCGGAGCUAAUACCGGAUAACAUAUUGAACCGCAUGGUUCAAUAGUGAAAGGCGGCUUUGCUGUCACUUAUAGAUGGAUCCGCGCCGUAUUAGCUAGUUGGUAAGGUAACGGCUUACCAAGGCAACGAUACGUAGCCGACCUGAGAGGGUGAUCGGCCACACUGGAACUGAGACACGGUCCAGACUCCUACGGGAGGCAGCAGUAGGGAAUCUUCCGCAAUGGGCGAAAGCCUGACGGAGCAACGCCGCGUGAGUGAUGAAGGUCUUCGGAUCGUAAAACUCUGUUAUCAGGGAAGAACAAAUGUGUAAGUAACUGUGCACAUCUUGACGGUACCUGAUCAGAAAGCCACGGCUAGCUACGUG